AUAAAAGAGGGAUGCAACACGAGG
RNAcentral lists this non-coding RNA (24 nucleotides) under Arabidopsis thaliana (thale cress). Lineage: Eukaryota; Viridiplantae; Streptophyta; Magnoliopsida; Brassicales; Brassicaceae. The record is from RNAcentral.